CACUUACGUUGUGAUCGAAAGCGAUUUUUUUAACGUGGUGGAGAAAAUCAGCUACGAGACCAAGUUUGUAGCAGCAGCAGAUGGAGGAACAAGUAUUAAGGUAACUACCACCUUUUACACCAUUGGUGACAUUCAGAUCUCUCCAGACCUAAUGCUCCAAAUCAAGGAAGCAUCCGAGAAGCGAGCCCUUGUUUUGAAAGCUAUUGAAAAUUAUGUGUUGGCAAAUCCCGAUUUCUGAAACUAGACUUUCAUGGCGUUCAACAUUUAAUGGUGUGGUUUGGAUGAUGUUUCAUGUUUUGUCUUAACCAAAAACCGUGUUUGAUUGCGUAAUAAGUGAUUUGUCUCUCUAGAUUUCAUCAUUUCUAUUUCCACUGUAAUAAGGGUCUUUUAAGUCGUUUCAAAAUAUAUACUUGAAAGCAAUGUUUUAUGGUUCAGGACAGUAACACUGUUAUUAUUUUCAAUAGAAAUAGGCAAUGAUUGGUUGAAUUAACAAUUAAGUUAAUUAUGUUUUCUUGACACUACCCUGCAAAGUCAAAUGGAAAUACCAAAACAAGAAAAAAAAUUACAAUUUGCCACGUUCCAAGCACAUUAAUUCAGGGUAUUAUAUUGAUCAUUAUCCAAGGUGCCUAUAUCCAGAUCAUUCUCAAUGCUCGUUCAUGAACCAGAUUAGGCCGUUACUUGUAAACAUCGUUGCCACAACUAAUUAUCUUCUGAAGCAUCAGUUUUUCCAAAUAUACUCUCAGAAAUCCUUUACCAUCUCUUAUUUUUAAAAGGCUACUUUGAGUUCCUUUUUUCUUUUGUGCGGCUGUCCUCUUCAACAUUCUUUGGUAUCAGCGCUAGGUUUGAUUGUUAUUAGGUGUAUUUCUCAUGGCGACAAACAACAAUACCGUGAGUGUUUCUCAACCGGCAAUUCCCGUUUUCAAUGGCGACAACUAUUAGUUUUGGAGCAUCAAAAUGAAGACACUGUUUAAAUCUCAAGAAUUGUGGGACUUAGUUGAGAAUGGGUAUCUUGAUGACGAUGGGGAAGCUAAGUUGAGAGAAAACCAGAAAAGAGACAAUAAAGUAUUAUUCUUCAUUCAGCAAGCUGUUCACGAGUCGAUUUUUUCAAAAAUUACAGGAGCAGAAACUGCAAAAGAAGCUUAGACAACAUUGCACAUGGCGUAUCAAGGCACUUCAAAAGUUGUUAUAGUGAAGCUUCAGACUCUUCGUCGUGACUUUGAGACAUUGCAAAUGAAAAGUGGAGAAUCAGUGCAAGAUUGUCUUACAAGGGCAGUAGCGGUUGUCAAUCAAAUGAAGUCCUAUGGAAAGCAAGUUACGGAUCAAACUACUAUCGAAAAAGUGUUGUGGAGUUUGACUCCAAAGCUUGAUCAUGUCGUUGCAGCUAUGGAAGAGUCUAAAGACUUAGCUACUUACUCAUUUGAUGAAUUACAGGGAUCUUUGCAGUCCCACGAAGCAAGAUUGAACCGCACAAAUGAAAAGUCAGACGAAAAGGUAUUCCAAGUGAUAGGGGAGCCUUCCAAGCAGCAAGACGAUUCAAGAAAGGCCACAUACAGAAGAGGUUAUCGUGGCAGAGGUGGUUAUCGUGGUAGAGGAGGUCGUGGCAGAGGUAGAAGUGCUGGACAUGAUGAACAAAGGCAGAUGACAGAAAAAUAGAAGCAAUAUAGGAGCAAUGUUCAAUGCUAUUAUUGCAAGAAAUAUGGGCAUGUGAUGGCAGAUUGCUGGAAAAGGGAAAGACAAGCCAACUAUGCAGAAGGUGACGAAGAGAUUAAGCUAUUCAUGGCUUCUCAAGAUGAUGUUAUAGCUUCGAAAGACAUAUGGUUUUUAGACAGCGACUGUUCAAAUCAUAUAACGGGGAUAAAAUCUUUGUUCAAAGAGCUGGAUGAGUCAUACAAGGUGAAUGUGAGACUUGGUGAUGACAAGCAGAUGCAAGUUGAGGGCAAAGGCACUGUGGCGAUAAGCAAUAAUCAUGGUAACAUAAAGCUCCUUUAUAAUGUCUAUUUUGUUCCUACUUUAUCCCAAAAUUUAUUGAGCAUUGGGCAGCUUAUGGGUAGUGGAUAUUCUGUCAUGUUUGAUGACAUGUCUUGUGUGAUUAAAGACAAAAAAAUAGGAAAAAUUAUUGUUGAUGUUCAGAUGGCACCAAACAAGCUCUUUCCUCUUGAAGUCUCUAAUGUAGAAAAUCAGGCACUUGUUGUUAAAGAGAAUAAUGAGUCUAAGUUGUGGCAUUUACGGUAUGGGCACUUGAAUGUAAAUGGUCUAAAAUUGUUGAGUCAGAAGGAAAUGGUGUUCGGGCUGCCAAAAAUUGAGUCUUUAGAUUUGUGCGAAGGGUGUAUAUUUGGGAAACAAUGUAAAAAACCAUUUCCUGUAGGAAACUCUAGAAGGGCGUCUGAGUGUCUUGGGCUUGUACAUGCUGACAUUUGUAGACCUAUGAAAACAGAAUCCUUGGGUGGAAGUCGCUAUUUUUUGUUAUUUACAGAUGAUUGCAGCCGCAUGAGUUGGGUGUAUUUUCUUUACUCCAAAUCAGAAGCAUAUGAGAUUUUUAAGAAGUUCAUGGCGCUCGUUGAAAAGUAAAGUGGAAGAAGUAUCAAGGCUUUGCGCACUGAUCGAGGAGGAGAAUUUUUGUCAAAUGACUCUAACCAGUUUUGUGAAGAGUAGGGCAUACAUAGAGAGUUGACAGCACCUUAUACACCGCAACAAAACGGUGUGGCUAAACGUAAGAACCGAAAGGUUGUUGAAAUGGCAAGAAGUUUGCUAAGAUCUAAGGGGCUACCAGAUAAGUUUUGGGCUGAAAGUGUUGCUGUUGCUGUUUAUUUACUGAAUUUGUCUCCAACAAGGGCGGUUCUCAACCGAACACCUUAUGAAGCAUGGAGUGCUAGGAGACCUUCGGUAAGCCACUUGAAAAUAUUUGGUUGUAUUGCCUAUUCUUUGAUAGAUUCACACAAUUGAAGCAAGCUUGAUGAAAAGCCUAUGAAAUGCAUCUUUGUUGGUUUUUGCUCUCAAUCCAAAGCAUAUAGGCUUUACAAUCCUUUGAGUGGCAAGGUGAUUAUUAGCAGGAAUGUUGUUUUUGACGAAAAUGCAAGCUGGGAUUGGAAUGAAGAGCAGGUACAUCAACAAAUCUCUAUGCCUAUUGAGGUUUCAUAAGAUGAAAGACAAGAGUUAAAUUCAGCAAGUUCACCUCUUAACUCACCAAGAGCUACAAUUCCUGAAGAGCCUUUAGCUGAGCAACUCCCGCUUAGAAGAUCGGCAAGGGCCAGAAAGCCGAAUCCAAAAUAUGCUAAUGACACUUAUGAAUCUUGUCAGUUUGCUCUUGCUGUUUCAGAUCCUAUAUACUAUGAAGAGGCUACUGAAAGGGAAGAGUGGCAGAAGGCAAUGGAGGAAGAGAUGAAAGCUAUUGAGAAGAAUGGAACAUGGGAAAUGGUAGACUUACCGAAAGACAAAAGUGCAAUUGGCUUGAAGUGGGUGUUCAAAACAAAGUUUGCUGCUGAUGGAAGCUUACAGAAACACAAAGCUCGUCUUGUAGCAAAAGGUUAUGCACAACAAUAUGGUGUUGAUUUCGAAUAAACUUUCUCUCCGGUAGCUCGGUUUGAAAUAGUGAGGCUUGUUCUAGCAUUGGCUGCACAAUUGCAAUGGCCUGUCUAUCAAUUUGAUGUCAAGUCAGCAUUCCUUAAUGGAGAUCUACAAGAAGAGGUUUAUGUAGCACAGCCGAAAGGUUUCAUAAAGAAAGGCAAUGAAACAAAGGUGUACAAGCUAAAAAAAACAUUAUACGGACUGAAGCAAGCCCCUCGAGCAUGGUACAGCAAGAUUGAUGGGUAUUUUCAGGAAAAAGGAUACGUGAGAAGUGAGAACGAGCCUACCUUAUAUGUGAAAAAGGAAGGUAAUGAUUUCAUCAUUGUCUGUCUUUAUGUUGAUGAUAUCAUUUAUACUAGUUCUUCUACUUUUCUUGUGGAUGAGUUUAAAUCUCAAAUGAUGAAUGAAUUUGAGAUGUCGGAUAUGGGUCUACUGCAUUAUUUCCUUGGUCUUGAAGUUUAUCAGGCUGAAGAUGGUAUUUUUAUCUCACAAAAAAAAUAUGACAAUGAUCUUCUCAGUAAGUUUGGCAUGCUUAAUUGCAAACCUGCAAUUACACCCAUGAACAUCAAUGAGAAAUUGCAGCAAGAAGAUGGAGGAGAAGUGGCAGAUGCAAAAAGGUUCAGAAGCUUGGUAGGUGGUUUAAUUUACUUGACGCACACCAGGCCCGAUAUUGCAUUUCCUAUUGGUGUUAUUUCCAGGUUUAUGCAACAACCUUCAACAGUUCAUUAUGGAGCGGCAAAAAGAGUCUUGCGUUAUAUUGCAGGAACUUUGGGGUAUGGUGUUUGGUACUCCAAAAAUUCAAAUUUCAGACUGUGUGGGUUCACAGACAGUGAUUGGGCAAGUUCAUUGGAUGAUAGACGAAGUGUUUCAGCAAAUGUUUUCACUCUAGGUUCGGGAGUGAUCACUUGGAGUUCGAAAAAGCAAGCUACAGCAGCACUGUCAACUUCAGAAGCUGAGUAUAUAGCAGCAACCUCAGCAGCUUGUCAAGCCAUUUGGCUAAGAAGGGUGUUAGCAGAUCUUCAACAUGAGCAAAAGGAAGCAACGGAAAUAUUUUGUGAUAACCAAGCAACUAUUACCAUGACAAAAAAUCCAACAUUCCAUGGCAGAACGAAACAUAUAGACAUUCGCUAUCAUUUUAUACGCAAUCUGGUUGCAAAGAAUGAGAUAACAUUGGAAUAUUGCAGCACUCAAGAUCAGCUGGCAGAUGUGCUGACCAAGUCAUUGUCGAAAGAGAAGUUUUGUUAUCUUAGAGCCUUACUUGGUGUGUGCAAGUUUGAAUCAAGGGGGAGUGUUGGAGAAUGAUUCAAAGUUUAUUUUUUGUUUUUUCUAAAUUUAGAUUUGGUUGAGUUGUGUUAGUUUGUUUCCUUUAUUUUUUCUGUUUUUGUUAUGAUUUUCUGUUGAGAUAUGAUUUCUUGUUGAGAUAUGAUUUUCUAUUAAGAUUUGUUGCCCUGUAAAGCCUAUAUAAGAGGCUGAUCUUUAGUUGAAUAAUGAAGCAUCAGUUUUUCCAAAUAUACACUCUCAGAAAUCCUUUACCAUCUCUUAUUUUUAAAAGGCUACUUUGAGUUCCUUUUUUCUUUUGUGCGGCUGUCCUCUUCAACAUCUUCAACGAUAAAUUCAUCAACCAAUUAUCUUUCAACGAUAAAUUCAUCCCUUGCGUUAAUAAAUCAAACUUCUAGAACUGGAAUUGGGUGUGGUGCGCCGGGCCCAAGCAAUAGUGCAAAACCUGGGCGACGCUCGAGAACCCCAGUAGCAAGCUACUGUGAUGGAUACUACCACUCGAAAAAUAAAUUUAAUAUCGUGUGAUCUAAUGGAUCACGUAUCAGAUAUUAAACUGAUAAGAACAGAUACUACACUUGAUCUUAGCCAAAAGGCCGAGAAAGGUAUGCCUCUUUCUGUCGAGGGUCGGGCUAUUUAAAACCUGCUUCUCGCCUGUUCUUUCGUACUCUUCCUGAUGUGGGAUAUUUUACAAAUCAGCUAGAAAAGAGCUGCCUACCGGUGCUCCUAUAAAGACUGAACCCUUCCUGAAUAGACUGAUUCUGGGCCAUUUAGGAUUUGAUUCAACAAUCAGGCACCAUUUAAGAUUUGGAACACUGCUGUUAAAUUUUACGACUAAAGUUAAAAGAUUAACAAGUAUCUUACAAUGGUAUGGUAAAAUAUUACAAAAAAAAACAUGUAAUAAUUUUUUAAGAUUAUUUGUGAAAUAAAAAAAAUACACUCAAUAUACCAAAUAUUAACCUUUUAUAUAAUAAAUUAAAAUUAAAUUUUAUAUUAAAUUACUUUAUUAUUGCGGUGUAUUUUCAUUAACUAAGAAAAAGGAAAUUGGCACUGCUGACAAAGGCUGAUGUUGUAAGUCUUAAGCACUCAAGUUCAAAUCUCAUGGUAACUCUUAAAUGGGAGAAAUAUAUUUAAGUACACUUGAACUCAUGUCCUCCUUAUUUUAACAAUUGGACUUACAUUUUUAAAUUUAAAAAAAUAUAAGAACUAAAUUUCUUGAAUAAAAGUGGAUGGACGAAAUUCUAAAUAUACGAAAAAUAUAAUUAUAUUAUACUUGUACAUACAUUGUAUUUGUAUUUGUAAAAAUUCUCUCUUUCAAAAGAAAAUAUUACUUUAAUUUUAAAUGUCAAGUUCUAAUUAUUUAAUUAUGUAGUAAAUAAUUUUAUGUCAUACAUGAAUAAUACAUUUAUGUAAUACAAUACAAUUAAGUAAUUAAUAUAUAACUAAAGAAAUAGUAUAUUCAAUUUAUUGAUCAAUUAUUAGGAAAGCAAAGAAAAUUGAAAAUUAAAGGAUGUGGAGUAGUAUGAAUUUACAAUAUAUCAAUUCUUUUUAGUAUUGUACAAAUGUUUACAAUGUAUCAAUUAACAUUAGCUUGGAAGAAGUGCCAAAAUCAACUUUUUCUCCGAGACUAUUUUACUUGAAUAUCUUCCUGACCCGAAUAGAAUUAGAUUUAAAUCGUAAUUUUUUAAAAUUUUUACCUCAAUUAUUUUUAAAAUAAAAUUUUAUAAAAAAUAUGAUUUUAAAAUAUUUUAGAAAUAAGAGAUCAAUUGAAAAAAAAUUUAUCACUAAAAGUCAAAAUAUAACAAGUUUAGUGAGACGGAUAGAGUAUUAUAAUAUUGGAGUUAUUAAAAAUAAGUUGUAUAUUUUAUUAUGCUUCCUAGUUAUUAUUUUUUUAAUAAUAUUAUUUUACAUUAAUUACAUAAAUAAAAAAAAUUAAAUGUAUAAAAUCAUGCACAACGCAUGUAGUAUUAGAAAUUAAUAUAGGUUCGUCAUAUACUGAUAGAUAAGCAACCCGUCAGUAUAUUCCUACUUAUGUUAACAGAAUUUGAUCAUUGGUAAAAACAAACAUCAAUAUAUGACAAAUUAUUUUGUAAUGGUGGCAUGUAAACAUGUUGUGGACUCCCCCACUCUUUUUUUUUUUAAUUUCUCGAUGUAAACAUGCCACUAUUUUUAAGGUUUUAUUCACCUCAGUAUAAAUAUUGGUGUGUAAAAAAGUUACCAACAAAUAAAUCUUGAGAAUACAAUGAAGCUUAAUGAUUGACUGUGUUUUCAACUGAUAUGAAAACAAUCCACUAAAUACUAUAUAGCAAGAAUAUUAAUUUCUAUAAUAAAAAACUUCUGUAAUAUUUUUUUAUAAAAUAAUCUAUGAAUAUUACAAAAGGGUAGUACAAAAUGAAACUUUCUUUACAAAUUCUUAGUGUGUCUUCCAAAUGAAAUUUGACUUUCAUUUAUAAGAAUUCUUAUGUCUUCAAACAUAACUAUCUAAAUAAAUGUCCAUAUCGAUAUUUGCAUAUCUUUGCAAUAGUCAUUACUAUUCUAAUAGGUAUCUAUUUAAAUGAUCAUAACUUAAAUAAUUAAGUAGAGGUGAACAAAAUUUGAUUUGACUCGAAAAAAUGAAUUCUUUUUCAAAUUUGAGUAACUCGAAUUUGGUUAUUUGGUUUUUCAAAUAAACUUGAAUAAGUGAUUCAGUUUCUCAAGAUUGAUACGAGUUGAAUUUUACAACUUAAAUAACUAGAAUAAUUCGAAUAACUCAAAUUAAAAAUUGGUGUAAAUACCUCCUAGGUCCCUAUCAAUUUCAAAAUUGAGCAAAUUGGUCCAUUGUAAACAAAUUUACAAAAAACUUCAAAAUAAUCUUCAAAUUUUUCCAUGUGUUGGUUGUUGACUACGAAGCAUGAAGCAAUGAAUGCAAGCUCCUCCUGAGCUUGAUUUUCUUCAGCAGCUUGAGCCUGAUUAGGCUAUUGCUGCUGCACUUUGUUUUUACAAAUUCUAAAAUCAUGGCUAAAUUGCUUACAAUUUUUACACUGCACCCCAAGUCUUGUCCAACAAAACUUUUUUGAAUAACCCAUCUUCCUGCAAUUCGAGCAUGGUGGAUAUUUUUUCUUUUCACAAUCUCUUUUUGGCCUAUCUUUUUCUUGAUUCCAUUUCUUCUUGCCUUUGUUGCUUGAAGAACAUGGAGUUCCCUUGUUUCUUGCUUGGUAAGCACCUUCUGCAUGCCCCUCUUCUCUACUUGCUUUUCUUUGCUCUUGUGCAUAUAGAGCAUUUAUGAGCUUUAACAGAGAGAUUGUUGUCAAGUUCCUCAAGUCCUCCAAGGAUGAGAUCUUGGACUCAUACUUCUCAGGCAACGUUGUGAUGACUUUUUCAACGACCCUUUGAUCACUGAACUGAUCUCCAAGCAGCCUUAUAUUGUUGACAAUGGUCAUGAUCCUCUCUACAUAUUGCUUGAUAGUUUCAAUUUCUUUCAUCUUCAGGUUCUCAAAGUCUCUUCGCAAAUUCAAAAAUUAUUGUCGUAUUGUCUUCUUCGUCCCUUGGAACUCCUCAUUCAAUUUAUCUCAGGCUUGUUUGUGUGUUUCACAAGCCAUAAUUCUUGUGAAAAUAACAUCAGACACACCAUUCUGAAGGCAAGACAAAGCCUUAUACUUUUUAGCAACCUCAUCACUGUGUUGUCUAAUUUGAGCUAUCGUUGGAUUAGCUCGCAACAAUGGUGGUUCUCUGUCUGAAUCAACAACUUCCGACAAAUCAUAUGUCUGAAGAUACAUCUUCAUCUUCAUUACCCAAAUAUGGUAGUUUUCUCUAGCAAAAAUAGAAGGUGGAGGUGGUGUAAAACUUCUAAACGACAUUGCAAUACAAACAAGAUACAAUCGACACUCUUUUCAAUAAGAAAAAAAUACACACAAGGCCCUUAAAGACUUUGGCUCUUGACACCAAUUGUUGGAGUUUAGAGAAGUUGAGAGAAUAAAACAAGGAAAAAUACUUAGCAAAAUUUUUACUACUAUAAAUUUUUUACUCAUCAUCAUUUCCUUUACACAUGAAAUACAAUAUAUAUGGGUGUAGUGGUUAUAAAGAAUUCAACAAACCCCACUAAAACAAUUUGUAAAUACAAAGAUGAAACUUAUACAUAAACUGAUUAGGUAAAAGUCAGUACCUAAAAAUGUCUCUGCUUACUUUAACAAGUAAUCUCAACAAGCAGACUAAUUACAAAAUAUCACCAACAAAAUAUGCCAACCCUUCUUGUAAUACAUUUGGGAUUCGGCAACAACUCAUAAUAGCUCGCAUUUGACUUAGCAAGCAACUUGAGUUGAGCUUGCACUUUUGGUUGAGCUUGCAGCUUUAGGUGAGCUCGCAAAUGUAGAGCUUACAGCUUCGCGGGAAGAGUUCGCCAUUGCAUGAAUGGCCACUUCGCAACAAGCUUGAUUCCCAAUCAAAUACGUGAACAUGCUGCUUCGGUUCAUAUGACACUCUGCCAGGCAAUAGGCAAGCCGUCCACAAAUUGUAAUUUCAAUGGUUUGUUAUAAAAUUUGGACAUCACAUAUAUAAUAAGGGUAAUUACAUGUUAUUAUUUACUAUCAUAAUAGGAUAGCCCAAAUUAAAAGUGAUCUAAUUUUGUUAAGGUUUAUUGGGCUUUAGUUAUUAAAUAAAGUAUGUGUCAAAUAUGUGUAGAUAUUCUAGUAACUAAUUUCUAAUUAAAGAUGGGUUGAUUAGAAAUUAGAGUUAAUAUGCAAAAGUGAUGUAUUAGGGUUAUGGUCCUCAAAUUACACAUAAGAUAACUUUUCUAAUAUUACAUCUUUAGAAAAUAAAGAGCACAUUCUCUAGAUUACAUAUGUGCUAAUUUGGAAGGUUAAAACAGCAAGAACCGUAGAUUUCAAGAAAUUGAUGAAUUCAGGUACGUUUUCGCAUCUAGUUUUGUUCUUGAUUUAUUUUUGAUGAUUUGACAUAAUAUAUCCUGAUUUAUGGUUUGUUAAGUUUUAUAUCAGAUAUUAUUUUACAGUUCUAGUAAGUGGCAUCCGAGCCUCGUCAUGUUAAAUCAUUAAGAACGAAUUGAUUCUUUAUUAUUAUUGGAUUGAUUCUUUUUUGAAAUUUUAUAGAUUUGAUAUCUUAAUUUUUGAUUAUAUAUAUUGAUGUUUGAGAUUUGAAGUUUUUUUAGGUUUUUGAUUAUUAUAUUGAAACUUUGGGGUUUAUGAAUAGUGAUUGAAAUAUUUGAAUGUUAUUGGUUUGGUAUGAAUUGCUUUAGUGCAAUCCACAUGAAUUAUUUUGGCUAAAUUGAAGUUUAUCUAUGGGAAUUAUUAAUCAAUAUAUAUACUUUGGAUGUAUUAAUUGAUUUGGUGAUUAGCCCUCAUACAAUACUCUGAUAUAGUUGAGUAGAAUAAUUUGGUGCAAGUAAAAUUAUGGCUUAAGUUAUGAGCUUUUAAUAUUUAUUAUGCUUUUACAUUUGGUUUUGGACUCAGAAGCAUAAUGCGAUUAGCAAUUCUGAUUCAAAUAUGAGUGAAGAAUAUACUUACAGGUUACUGCUUUUAUUUGCUUUAUAUAAAUUUUAAAACAAAAUUACAAAUUGCCACAUUCCAAGCACACGAAUUCAGGGUCCUAUAUUGAACAUUUUAAAAGGCAUUCAGAUUCAAAUAAUUUGCGGUGCUUGUUCGUUAGCUAAAAUAAGCCUUUACUUACUACAAAGAUAUAUUCUUUACAACGAUUGCAUGAACCCACUACACCAAAACAGGCUUUUAGCGGCGUUUUUAGCGGCGUUUGGAUAAAAAACGCCGCUAAUGAUCGAUCAUUAGCGGCGCAUUACGGAAAACGCCACUAAAAAAAAGCAUUAGCGGCGUUUUUGAGAAAGCGCCGCAAAAAACCUAAGCCCAAUGACGCCGUUUUCUGAGCUUUCAGAGAUUUAGCGGCGUUUUUGGUAAAGCGCCGCUAAUGCCCAGGGCUUUAGCGGCGUUUUUGGAAAAGCGCCGCAAAAAAACCUAAGCCUAACGACGUCGUUUUCUGAACUUUCAGGGAUUUAGUGGCGUUUUUGGUAAAGCGCCACUAAUGCCAGGGCUUUAGCGGCGUUUUUGGAAAAGCGCCGCAAAAAAACCUAAGCCCAACGACGCCGUUUUCUGAGCUUUCGGGGAUUUAGCGGCGUUUUUUAAAAGCGCCGCUAAAAAUAUUUUAUCUUAAUUGGUUUAUUCAUAUUAAAUAAUUUCAAUUUAUUUCUAAUUGAAUAUUUAAAAUCUUCAGAAAAAAAUUAUGACACGUAGAAAUAAUUUGAAAUAAAACACAUGGAAAAUUUAAAAUAUUAUUAUUUAAAAUAAUUGUAAAAGAGAUAAUAAUAAAAUUGUUUAGGGUUUUUGGUUUAGGGUAUAUGAUUUAUUUAAGAUUUAAGGCCGGUUUAAGAGUUCAUAUAUUAAGGUUUAGGGAGUAUGGGUUUAGGGAUUAUGGAUUAGGGGUCGUGAUUUAAGGUUUAGGGGUUAGAGGGUUAGGGGUUUAGGGAUUAAAAGUUAGGGAUUCUUGGGUCGAGUUAGAGUUUUGGGUUUAGAUUAAUUAUUUUUUAAUUUUUAUUUUAAAUAUGUUCUUAUAUAAUUGUAGAAGAGAUAAUAAUAAAUUUGUUUAGGGUUUUUAGUUUAGGGUAUAUGAUUAAUUUAAAAUUUCAAGCCGAAUUAGGAGUUCAUAUUUUAAGGUUUAGGGAGUAUGGAUUUAGGGGUUAUGAAUUAGGGAUUAUGGUUUAAGGGUUGGGAUUUAAGGUUUAGGGGUUAGGGGUUAGAUGUUAGGGGUUAAGAGUUAGGGAUUUAAGGUUUAGGGAUUCAGGGGUCGAGUUAAGGUUUUGAGUUUAGAUUAAUUAUUUUUUAAUUUAUAUUUUAAAUAUGUUCUUAUAUAAUUGUAAAAUAGAUAAUAAUAAAUCAAAUAUAUUGAAAUUAUGAGUAUGGUUUAAAUUAUUUAAGAGAUAUAUAAUAGAUAGAUUUUAUAUGUAUUGAAUGGUUAAUUUAGAGGGUUUAAGGUUAAGGUUUACUUGAGAUUUGUUAAAUGAUAAAAUUUUAUACAAUUAAUUAAUGCUUUUAUAUUUAAAAAAAUGUAAUCUAAACCAUUUGAUAUAUUUAAAUUAGUUUAAAUAGAAUUAAUAAAUAAGUUAAAAAAAGUAAUAGAUUGAUAUGGAUAUUUAUGUAUAAUUAUUUAUUUUGGAGAGGAACAAAUUAUAAGAAAAAAUACAAAAAUAAAAAUGAUAUGGAUAUAUAGGUAAUUAUUUAAUUUAGAUAAUUUUAACUUAAUAAUUAAUUACAACCAUUUUAUCAUUUGUUUUCUUAUUAAAAUAUACAAUAUUUAUUUUGAGAGUACUUUUUAUUUUAUUUUAUAAAAAAUCAAUUUAUAAAAAAAAAAUUAGCAUAGCAAAACGGUGUCAUUUUGUUCAAAAUGAAAGCAAAAAAUAAAUCAAUUUAUAUAAAAAAAAUUUAGAAUAGCAAAACGGCGUCGUUUCCUAUAAAAACGCCCCAAAAAAUAAAUCAACUUAUAAAAAAAAUAAAAAAUUGUUAGAAUAGCAAAACGGCGUCGUUUUGUUCAAAAUGAAAAAAAUUUGCGGCGCUUUAUAAGAAGCGCCGCUAAAGGUAAGCAAUAGCGGCGUUUUCUAUAAAAACGCCGCAAAAAAUAAAUCAACUUAUAAAAAAAUAAAAAAUUGUUAGAAUAGCAAAACGGCGUCGUUUUGUUCAAAAUGAAAAAAUUUAAGCAAUAGCGGCGUUUUCUAUAAAAACGCCGCAAAAAAUAAAUCAACUUAUAAAAAAAUAAAAAAUUGUUAGAAUAGCAAAACGGCGUCGUUUUGUUCAAAAUGAAAAAAUUUUGCGGCGCUUUAUAGGAAGCGCCGCUAAAGGUAAGCAAUAGCGACAUUUUUUAUAAAAACGCCGCAAAAAAUAAAUCAACUUAUAAAAAAAUAAAAAAUUGUUAGAAUAGCAAAACGGCGUCGUUUUGUUCAAAAUGAAAAAAAUUUUGCGGCGCUUUAUAGGAAGCGCCGCUAAAGGUAAGCAAUAGCGGCGUUUUCUAUAAAAACGCCGCAAAAAAUAAAUCAAUUUAUAAAAAAUUUCCCAAAUUUUUUAUGCGUUUUUAUCCCAAAAUUCCCCCUGAAACCCCUAAAUUUUCCCCCCUAAAAUUGGUAUCCUCAAAACACCUGAGUGUUUCUCUCUUCCACCACCGUCUUCAUCAUGAAUUAAUUACUAUUUAAUCGUAAAAGAGAUAGUAUUAAUUUUAAAAUAUUGAAUUAAUUACUAUUUAAUUUGUUUAUUUAUAUUAAUUAAAAUUCAAUUUAAUUUUAAAUGAAUAUUUGUUAUAAAUGGAUUAAUUUGAAAUAAUGACACGUAGAAAUAAUUUGAAAUAAAAAACAUAGAAAAAUAUUUGUUAAAAAUAGAAAAAUUAAAAUACUAUUAUUAAGCCAUAAUUUUAAAAUUUUUUAGGUUCAUGACUGAUUGAUUUUUAAUUUAUAUACUAAAUAAUUUCAAAUAUAAUUGUAAGAGAUAAGAUAGUAUUAAUUUUAAAAUAUUUAAUUUAAUUAUCAUUAUAGUUUAAGGUUUAAUAAAUAUGGUUUAGGGUAUAUAUAUAUAUGGUUAAUUUAGGAUUUAAGAUUGGUUUAGGAGUUACAAUUUUAAGUUUUAUAAAUUAUGGAAUUAGGGAUUAUGGAUUAGGGAUUCUAGUUUAAGGGUUAAUGUGAUUUUAAGGUUUAGGGUUAAGGGUAGGGGUUAAGGGUUAGGUUCGGGGUUAGAUGUUAAGAGUUAGGGAAUUAGGGUUUAGAAAUUCGGUGUCACGUUAGAGGUUUAGGAUUCGAUAAUUAGUGUAUUUUAUUAUUAUUAAAUAAGUUUAGGGAUUAGGAUCAGGUUUGGUUUAGGGUUAGUAGAUUACUUAUUAUUAUUUAAUUUAUAUAUUAAAUAAAGUUUAAGGGUUAGGGAUUCGUGGUCAGGUUUCGGUUUAGUGCUUUAGCUUAAUAGUACUUUUUCAUUAUAUAUUAAAUAACAGUUUAGGUGUUAGGGUAGGGAUUUGGUGGUCGGGUUAGGGUUUAGCUUUGGAUUAAUUAGGUACUUUUUAAUUUAUAUAUUAAAUAGUUCUUUAUAAUUGUAAAAGCGAUAAUAAUAAUUGUAAAGAUUCUUACUUAAAAUUGAUAUGCAAUAUAUAAUUUGAAUAUAAUAAUUUAAAAUUGUAAAAUUGUAAAAAAUUGUAAAAAUUAUAAAAAAAUAAAAAUAAAAUUAAAAAAAUUAAAAAGAAAUAAAAACACUAAAAUUUUUAUUUUUACCUAAUUUUUAUAAAUACUACUUAAAAAACUAAAAUUGAUAAUUUUAUCUAAUUUUUAUAAAUAUUACCUAAACAAAAUUUUUAUAAAAUUUGCAAUAGAAAAUUUAAUGUACUAGUGGCGUUUUUAACAAAAACGCCACAAAAUAUUCUUAAUAAUAAAGAAAAAACGGUAUAGUUUUUUGCUGCGAAUUUAAUGGGUUUUGUGGCGUUAAGGGAAAAACGCCACUAAAGUUGAUCAUUAGCGGCGCUAAGAAAAAAACGCCACAAAAUUCUGUUCUCAAUUUUUAUAUCUAUAUAUAAGAGAGUACUGAAAAAUUAGUAGCGGGAAAGUGAGUAUCGAAAAGAAAGAAUGGGAGGGAGAAAUUAAAAUGUUUUAAACUGUAAUCAUUUUCUGUUCUUUUUUUUUUCUCCAUCUCUCUCUUUCUCUUUUUUUUUUACUGUUGAUUUACAAAAUCUUCUUCCGUUGCUAAUUUCUUUGUCUAGGGUUUUUGUUCGUUAGUUUUUUUUAUUCUUUUUAGACUCAAAUUCUUUGAAAUUAUGAGGAGAAAUGUGAAGAAAGAAAAACAAACAGAUAAGGGUGAUGCAUCUGCUGAACCGGUUCGAACCAAGGUGGCGGGAGAGGCCCGAGAUGAGUCGGCGGAUGUUGAGUCGAAUCAACCGAAUCGAGAAGAGGAUGCGACAGAUAGGAGGGUUCUUCGCUCCAAAUACCUUGCCGUGAUGACCAAAAUAAGCGGUUAUUAUUAUUUUUCUUCUUCUUCUUUUCCUGAAAGGAUAUUAAUCUCAUUUCACUAGUUUUUUUUUGUUUUAAUUUUCUUUCCAGAUUUGAGCUAAAUUAUUGCUUUUUCUAACUUGAAUUUUUAGAACCUGCAAAGGAAUUUGCACUAUAUUAGUUCUUUUAUAGAUACUGUUUUGAGUUUUCUUUUUCGUCUUUAAUGGAUUGGGUGUUAAGGAUUGUUGGAGUCUUGCUGAAUUGUUUUGCUUUGUGCUGAAGAACCUCAAUAAAAUCAUUGUGCUUUGUUAAUCUUGACUUUUGUUAAUCUAAAAUUUUUAUUUUUAUUUAUGAAAUAAAACUGGUAUUUGUUCUUUGUGUAACUAGGUGAAUUAUAUUAUAGAACUCUUAACUAUUUUUAAGUCUAACAACUGAAUAAUGAAACAGAACUGUAUUUAAUUUGUUGUGGCUUACAGAGAGUUUGGUUUGAUUUGUUUUCUUCAUUUAACUACAAUAAAUUGAUUCAGUAUAAACUUCCGUUAAAAUCUUGCUGAAUUUAACUGAUUACACUAAUUUUUAAGUGAACGCAUGAUCAGGAAGAAGGUGUUUAAGUUGGCACUGAGUUAUUUGGUAAUAGCCAUAUCUCAUGGAGUUGGUGUGUUGUUGAGUUAUUCGCACACUAUCUUUUGGGAAUAUUCAAACUUCCCUUUCUUGUUUGGUUUCUAUUAAUUGCGGGUUAGAGAUGUUGUGGAAGUAAAUAAAACGUGUAUCCUGAUGUGCAGUGUUUAGUGUUGUGUGAAACAAUGCAAUUCAUAAAAUAUGAAUAAAGAGUUUCAUAUUCACCAUAAUUUUAUUGCGACUGCAUCUGUGAAACAAUGCAAUUCAUAAAGUUUUCUGAUUAUUUUCUUUAAUACAAAGAUACUUAACAAAUUUUAUGCUUACCUUGAUUGAAGCUUCUUGUACGGAUAUGAACAAGUCUUUAGCUGAUGGGAUGUUGGAUGUACCUUGCUUAGAAGAAAAAAAAGAAAAAAAAGGAGAAAUCAUAGGGAAAAGAAUCAAAACAUAAAAUAUGAUGAGAAUAGAUAGGCAUAGGCCCUUCCAUAUAAACCUUUAUUGGGCUAUUGCUGAUAAUUAUAAUUUGACAACUCAACGAUGAUGUUCCUUACUUUUGGAGAUAACCGAGAAGUGGAACAUGGUUUGUCUGUAAAAUUGCAAGUUCAAAAGUUAAUUCUCCAAGCUACAUCACAUGAAAAUUUGUGCCAGAACUAUGUUGGGUAUGAUGCUCUGCUAUUUCACUGCUUUCCUUGUUUAUAUUUGUGGUGCAUGUCUGUCUUUAUAUGUGUUCUAGAAUUUUGUUGAAGGGUAUAUAUUGGAUUUUUAUUUACAUAGUAGGAUAUUAAAAUGACAAACAGGAAGGCACCUCAACAUAUUUUGAGUUUGUUCCUAUUCUUCUCUUUUUCUUUUUUAGGUUUGAUAUUCUGUUCAAUCUUUGUCAAGUAUCGGGCAAGUCCAGUUGGUGUCCAUUAGACUUAUUCACAUAUGAUAUAUAAAUUUUAUGCUUGCUGUGGAUGGGUAGUGCCCUUUGAUAAAGUUAAUGAACUCACUCACUCACUAACUAUUCUUGACAUUUCCAUGCUCAUUUGCUGCAGGUGGCGUCCUUUUUGGUGAUCUCAAGAACAAAAAAGAAAUGGUAUAUUUGUGCAUAACAUUUUGUAUACAUCUGUAAUUUAUGUGUAUAUAAAGUAUAUAUUACAGAUAUCUCGUCUCUUUCUGGCCUUGUGUUGCAUACGCAUUAUUUUAAAUUAAUAAUUUUUUACAGUUUUCUCACGUUUAUUCUCAUCAACUACAUACGACCCCGUGAGGUUAAUCAAAAUUUACUUUUUUCGAUAAAGGAUUUUUUUUUCAUACAUUUUUAAUUGGUUCAUAGAUAAAAAGAUUUUACAUUUUACAAAGGUUACAUUUAGAUUUUUAAUUUUGUUUAUAAAAUUUUUACAUUUUACAUUUACAUUUUACAAAGCUUCAGCAUAGGGUGUAACUUAAUUUUUUUGCAAAUGAAAGUUUAUGGUUGUAUAUUGUUUGCAAAAAAAUACUGGUAUAGUUUUUACUCUGAUUAGCUGUAGUUAUUUUUGUGUUAUAUUUACAGUCUUUAAAAUUAUUAGAAUAUGUAGUAGGUACUGCAUAUUAUGCAUAAAAUUUAUAACCAACAUUGAUAACAAGAUGGGAAAUGUUCGAGUUACUGUCUCUCUCCAAAUAUUUCACUGUAAAAAUUGUUUUACUGCAGUUUGAAAGGUGCCAAAGUCGGCCUUUGCAUUGUGGUGUGCAUUAGACAUCACGAAAUAGAAUUUAGUAAAAGCAUUGAAUCAUAUUUCACUUAGCAUUUCAAGGAGUUUGAGUAAUAGGAGUUGAAUGGUGGCAUUGCUUAUAGAAAAUUAUGAGUGCCAGAAGAUUGAUAUACUUUUUUAAGCCAAAUUGAAUGUGACAUUGCCUAGACCCCUAAGUACACAUGUAAACAUUUUGUUUAAUUAGAGUUUUGUCAACAGUAAAAAGGCCCUUACAUCUCUAAGCUCCCCCUCCCCCUCCCUUAAGAGGAAUAUAUUGUGUCCUCAUUUUCCGAAGCUGCACAAGGUCAAAGGUGAAAGUAUCAUGAUAACCAAGCAUUAACGGUGUAGCUUUUCUUUGGUACUGUUGUCUGACUCACAUUUCUCUUUGAAAUCCUUGGGUUGAAUUUUAUCUUGCAGGUAGAUUAUGCAUGCACACUUGAAGAAGUGCAGUAGCAUUAAUUCUCUGCAGGAAGAUUCCUAGAUUGAGGCUUAUAUGCAAAAUGUGAGUUAUGGAUCUGGAGAAGGGAAUGAUAGGCUGCUUAUAUGCAAAAUGUGAGUUAUGGAUCUGGAGAAGGGAAUGAUAGGCUGCUUCUAUGCAAAAUGUGAGUUAUGGAGUUGGUUUUCCUUUUAAACAUUACUUUGAAUACAUUGCAGGUUGUUCCAACACAAUAUAAAGUAAUGGAAAAAAACAAAGAAAUAACAUGAUGCAUAAGAAAUAUAUAAAAUAUAUUAGUGAGGAUUAGGUAGAUAGAAAUGCCAUCAAGAAGUAUGCUGCUUGUGUUGACCAUUUGUGAUUUGAACUUGCCUAAUGUGUUAUAGGUUUAGCAUUUUGUUUCUUCUACUGAAAUUUUAAUAUUUUCUUCAUAUUUCCUUGUUGGUUAAAUCUGUUUAUAAUGUUUUUUAUUUUAUUUUAUGUAUUUACAUUUCUUUUUUGACUUGUUACAGAUAUGGUUUAUGAAUUGCUGCGCAUAUCAACCCAGUAUGUCUAGAAUCUAUUUAUUUUCUUCUUUUCUUAUAUUAUACAGCUUUCUGUUCCAAUUUAGAAAUUUUCUGACUAUUUCAAACCAGUGCAACAAAUUAAAUAAAAUGAUGGUUAUCAAGUAAGACAUUUUCCAUAGCCUGUAAUAGUUUGUUAUAGUUAUACAUGGUAGGAAUUAAGCUUUUCAUUUAAAAUGUGUCUAUUUGGUUUUCCACUGAAGUGUCACCACAGCAUAUAGUAGGGUUUAUGGCUUUAUGAACUUAUGCUUUUAGGUACUGCACGUUCAUUUUGAUUGGUUUGUUUGAUUUUGAGGCAAAUCAAAGAAUUAAAAACUCCAAUGAGAUGAAUGUUUAGAUUUUUUUAAAAAAAAAGUUAUAUUGUGAAUUAAACUCCAAUGAGAUCAAUGUUUAGAUGAAUGUUUGGAUUGGGGGCAUAAUUAAACUUUAUGGUUGAGGCUGACAUGAUUUUCUCUUUGUAACAGGUCAAUGAGUUCAAGUCUAUAGAAAAGUUUAAAAUUUUCAAUACAAACAAUUUGUAAGUCAUAUUGCCUUAACAUGUUAGAAUUGUCUAUUUGGCUUAGUACUAACAGUCAAUGUUACAAGUGGGUCAACGUGAAUGCUAUCAAGAGGCUUUUGGAAGCUGAUGCACUCAAGAUGGAGAUCAUUCCAAACCCGAAGGUUUGUAUCACUUUCUUACCAUGUCGUCUCUGGUGGAUUUCUGAUUUCUAAAUUAUAAAAUUGGCUGCAGGUGGUCAAUGGAAUCAAGGUUCUUCAACUGGAAACUGCAGUUGGUGCAGCAAUUAGGGUAGAAAAUUGUACCAGUUAUGGUUAUGAUGUAUUAAAAUGUAAAAAGUUCUGUCUAACCAUGUGUUUUCCGUACGUGAUCAUGCUAUUGGUAUCAAUGUACCUCGAUUGUGAUUCCUUAUGUCUUAUUCAUGAAUUUUCAUUUUAAUACGUUUUCAAAUUAAAUUAUACAUUUUUAAAUUGGAUUUGUGACGUUUCUAUAAUAUUUUUUUUCUUUUUUAUGAUCUUUAGCGGCGUUUUUGGAAAAAGCGCCGCUAAAGGUUAGGUUUUUAGCGGCAUUUGUGGGAAAAGCGUCGUUAAAGAACCUAACCUUUAGUGGCGUUUUUGGGAAAAGCGCCGCUAAAGGUCAUGUUCUUUAGCGGCGUUUUUUAAAAAGGCGUCGUUAAAGAUCAUGUUCUUUAGCGGUGUUUGUGGAAAAGCGCCGCUAAAGAUCAUGUUCUUUAGCGGCGUUUGUGAAAAAUGUGCUGCUAAAGGUCAUGUUCUUUAGCGGCGUUUGUGGGUAAAGCGCCGCUAAAGAUCAUGUUCUUUAGCGGCGUUUUUUCAAAUAAACGUCGCAAAAGUUAGCGACGUUGUCAAUAGCGACAUUUUUUGCGGUGCUUUCACUGCAAAUAUUUUUAGCGACGCUAAAAAACGCCGCUAAAGGCCUAAAAAAACGCCGCUAAAGGCCUAAAAAAACACCGCUAAAAGCCUAUUUUGGUGUAGUGACUAAUAAGACUCUUUGAACUGGAAUUGGGUGUGGUUCGCCAAGCCCAAGCAAUACUGCAAAACCUGGGCAACGAUCGUGAACCUCAGUAGCAAGAUACCUUUAUGGACUCUCCCACUCAAAAAAUAAAUUUAAUAUCAUGUGAUCCAAUGGACCACGUAUCAGUUAUUAAACUGAUAAGAACAGAUACUACACUUGAUCUUAGCCAAAAGGCCGAGAAACGUAUGCUUUCAUUUAGCAAGCAUCGGGCAUUUUAAAUUCUGCUUCUCGCUUGUUCUUACGUACUCUUUAUGAUGUGGGAUUUUAUGCAAAUCAGUUACAAGAGCCGCCUACUGGUGCUCCUAUAAAGAUUGAACCCUUCCUGAAUAGACUGAUUCUGGGCUACUUACGAUUUGAUUCAACAACCAAGGUACCAUACAACAAGAAAACAACUCUCCUAACCACCAAAACUUUGAAAAACAAACACUGCAUUUGCAAUUUAUAAAUCAAACCAGGAAUAGGAUUAUGGCUUUGCUCAAAGAAGCAGCAAUGGCAAAAGCAUUAGUUGUAUCUAUGUUGAACUGGAAGUCCUUGUACAACAUUGUUUCCAGGAUAGAAGUCUUCCGCUUUGGAUCAUUGCAGACGGACCUUCCCAUAACAAACAGUACACAGUUCUGUAUCAGACACCUUUUCUUUCAUUGUAAAAAGCAAGUUUAGCUUGAAUCCCAAUCAAAUACGUGAACAUGCUGCUUCGGUUCGCAUGUGACACUCUUCCAUGCAAUAGGCAAGCCAUCCACAAAUUGUAAUUUCAAUGGUUUACUUUCUUCCUUGUUUCCGUCUCCCAUAUCUUUUGUUUUAUUAUUCUUUUCUAUUCUACAGCUUAGGACUUCACAAUUUUUGUCAUUUUCAUGGAGAAUGGGAGAAUAUAAGCUGACUCUGUUUUCAAGAUUUAUUAUUACAGAGUUCUUUCUUUUUAAUCUUCUUUUGAUAUUGACUCCUCUCAAGAUCCAUAUAUUUUGUUCUCCAUGAUAAGCUUACAUCUGUUUCAUGUCCAACGAUAUGUAAGGUCAGUACGCAAACCAGAAUCAAUUUUGCAAGAUAUCUUCGGUGAUUUCCAGACUAAAUUUAAAAAUUUCAAUAAAAUAUGAAGAAAUUGAUCACCUACCUAGGCUUUGAAAGAGCCUAAUAUUCUUCAUUAUUCUCACUCUAUAAAUACUCCAACAUCCUGUUUACAUCUCCACAGCUCAAAAACCUGUUCGAUCAUUUCGUAAAAUCAGUAGAAAAUAAUGGGUGUUUUCACAUACGAAUCUGAGAUUGUUACUGCAAUCCCACCAGCCAAGAUGUUUAAGGCUUGCAUCCUUGACGGGGACACUCUCAUUCCCAAGAUUGUUCCUCAGGUUUUUAAGAGUGUUGAGUACUUGGAAGGUAAUGGUGAGCCUGGGAGUAUCAGGAAGGUCACCUUUGCACAAGGUUAUUUAGCUUAUUUUUUUAACUUCAUAUUUUGAGCCAAAUCUAAUAUAUGAUUAAGUUUGAAGGAAAAAAGGAUGAAAAUGAUGUGGUUUUUGGACAUGUAUGUUGCAGGAAACCAAUUCAAUUACAUGAAACAGAAGGUAGAAGCAUUAGACACAGAAAAAUUUGAGUACAUUUACAGUGUGAUUGAAGGCGAUCCGCUGAUGAACAUGCUCGACAAAAUAACUUAUGAAAUAAAGUUAGAAGACUCUCCAGGUGGGGGAUCCAUAUGUAAGACUAGUAGUAAGUAUUACACCAUUGGUGACAUUGAGCUCAAGGAAGAGGCAAUCAAGGCAGGCAAAGAAAAGGCUUUGGGUGUAUUGUUCAAGUCCAUCGAAGCCUACCUCGUCGCAAAUACUAACGCCUAUUGAGAUUGCAUUCACUACAAUGAAUAUCAAGAAAUUGGCCUUCUCCUCUUCUAGCUUUUACUUCUGCAGCAAAUGAGCUUCAAAUUUCUAAUAAAGACUUCAUAGUUUGCCUGAAAUAAACAAAAGACCAGACAGUGUAUGUACUGAAUCUUGUUGUGUGAGAUAUUCAUUGAGAAUAAAGAGUUGGUCAUCUUUCAUCUGAAUAAUCCUUGUCCUAUUAACCACCUUUAGUCAUUAGUUGCAUAAGUUAAAUGUUAUAGAGCUGGCUCAUGGAUUAAACAUGUGUAGCUCAUAAUCCAUUUACUCAAGACAUUUACCUGAAAAUUUAACAAUUUCAGUUAUGAUUCUAUGAUCUGAAAUUUUUUCCUCUCAUAGUAUUUACUACUGCUAGAGGAUUCUGGAUUAGUCUUGCCAAUAAUUUCAACAAGACUCUUCAGUUUGUAUAUCUGUACUGAAAAAAAUCAGUAUGCAACACUCAACAUUAAGUCGGUAUUACAUAAUGCUAGAAUUGAUGAAUUAAAGGUACUCAUUGACUGCAGGAACCUGAUAACACGAUAGAAAAUGCAAGUGCUGAAGAUGGUUUUAAGUACCCAACAGUGAAAGCGCUAGGCUAUAAAAACUGAAAUGGGGUUAAAGUGAGUUUUUGGGAAAAUCCUAGGGACAAUUAAAGUAUAAGAUAUUCACCUUUUGUUCUAUCUUACAAGAAUAUAACCAUGUUAAAUUUGGCACAUAAAUCACUGAUCAACUGAAUUUCUGGAACCACGUACGGUGGCUGUAGUAACAUAAUAUUCAGGAUUUCAUGUUAAUACUUUUGCUGCAACAGGUUUAUUUCUAGAAAACUAACAAACUAUCACCGAAAGUUACUAUGUUGCUCUGACGAUUCAUUAUUCUUGAAGUACCCUUACAGCCAUACAUGGUACUUACGUUAUCCGGACAUUAGUAUGGGGAUAUGAUCCUCAUAAGACUCUCUAGAUACAUGAAACACAUAAUAAAAUUGAAGAUAACUGUGUUAGAUCCAAGGUUUUGAUUGCUUAAAAUAUUAGUGAAUUAGAGUCUUUUCUUUUCAAUCUUCUUCAGAGUUCCAAUAAUAUUGGUCUCAUGAUUCAAUGAUUUGUUGGUUUAUGGUAAGCUUGAUGUUGUAUAUUGAAGAGAUAAGUAAGAUAUGUACACAAACCAGAAUCAUUUGAAAAUUUUUAGGUGCUUUUCUCAUACUAAAGUACAAAAUUUCACUAAAUGGCAAAAAUCCCAUAAAAUAUAAAGAAAUCAACAAAGAUUCUAGAUGGCCUAAAACUCACAAACAGCUAAAUCUUGAAGCUGACACUAUAAAUACUACAAUUAUAUAUCAGAUAUGUACAUCAUCGGCAAACAUAAAACAUAUCCUCUGCAAAGUAACCAAAUCCCAAAUCACUUGAAACCAUGGGUGUUUUCACAUAUGAAUCUGUGGUUAUUACAGUGAUCCCACCAGCGAAGAUGUUUAAGGCUUGCAUCCUUGAUGGUGACACUCUCAUUCCCAAGAUUGUUUCGUAGGAUUUUAAGAGUGUUGAGUACAUUGAAGGCAAUGGUGAGGCUGGUAGCAUUAAGAAGGUCACCUUUGGAGAAGGUCUGCUCAUUUAUAUAAUUUUGAAUCAUAUACAUAUAUGUACAUUAAGUCUGAAGGGAAAAGGGUGAAAGCUAUGUGUUAUUCUUCAUGCAGGAAGCCAAUUCAAAUACAUGAAGCAGAAGGUUGAAGCAAUAGACAAGGAGAAUUUUGUGUACAUUUACAGUGUGGUUGAAGGUGAUGCAUUGAUGAACAAGCUUGAGAAAAUCACUUACGAGACAAAGUUAGAGGCCUCUCCAGAUGGGGGAUCCAUAUGUAGGACUACUAGUAUUAUUAUACCAUUGGUGACUUUGAGCUCAAGGAGGAUGGAGUCAAGGCUGGCAAAGACAAGGCUUUGGGAAUAUUUAAGGCCAUUGAAGCGUACAUCCUGGAAAAUCCUAACGCCUAUUGAAAAUAUCCCAACAUUGAGAUUGCAUCCACUGCAUGCAAUGAAUAUCAAACAAUUGCCUUCUUUCUUCUAGUUUUUGGUGUUGCAACAUACGACCUUUAAACUGCUAAUAAGAGUUCAUAGUUUGCCCUGGUUACCAGGAAGCUUGAACUGAAAUGUAAAGCAUGUAAUAAUCAGAAGAGCAUCCAAUGUAUUUUGUUGGAGUUUUUGUAAGAAAAAGAGGACACAAGACAAGGCAGCAAGAUACAAGAAAACAUUUUUACUUGCUCACAAAUGUGAGCAAGGGAGCUUAUGGCUUUUAGGUCAUUUUGCCCAUUCAGUCAACUAGAAAAAACAAUACAUUUAUAGCCAAAUACAUCACCAAAUACUACCUACUACCACUAAGUAGCCUAGUAACUUGAUAAACAUUGCUUAUACACAUAAACAAGCCACCUAAACUAGUCAUUCAACAUCUAAUGUAUCAAGUUGUCAUCAAUUUGUUCAUUUUCAACUAGUUUGAUUACAAUGAAACUAAACAAAAAAACCUUGUUGUUACAGCAAGCAUACGUGUUGCAACAUGUUUACAAGCUACAUGCACUUCAACCAAAAAUAUCAUAGCAGCAUGGUUGGCCAAUUUUCAACACUCCUCCUUGGACUCCAUGCUGCGAAUACCAAUCAUUCAACAAUUUUUAACUUGGCAAUCAAAAGAUGAUUUGUUUCAAGCUGAACCUGCUCAAGCAAUACAUUUUCAACCUUGGCCUCAUUUUCAACCAAAUCUGACUCACACAAUUGUCCAUACCAGUCUUUUGUGCCAAAUAUUUGUUCAUCAAAUGGAGUAUUCUCCUCCUUCACAGCCUUAGUUGACAACACAUCUUGUCUUGUUCCCUUGUUCAUUACAAUCCUAUUUCUUCUUGCAUAUACAGUUUGCGAGUAUAGUUUGCUUGCCUUCAGUCUGCUAUUUUGGCUUGCACCCACUCGAGCUUGCAUUUAGACUGACCGCCACUUCGGCUUGCAAUUUGAUAGGCUCACACUUUGACAGGCUCGCACUUUGCUUACUGUCUUCAACAGGCUUGCAACUUUACAACUUGCAUUGAGCUUCCACAUGUUGCUGAUCUCGUACCUUUGACAGACUUACAUAUUUGCAUACUGUCUUCAGCUGGUAUCUUCAAUAGGCUCGCAACUAUAUAGGGCUCGCACCUUUUGAUGAGCUCGCACCACUUGCUAAGCUCAGAGCUCGCACUUCUCGCUAAGCUUGUAGCUUUGACAUCUUGCUGAGCUUGCAGCUUGCACAUUUUUGCUGAGGUUAUAGCUUACACAUUGGAAAGCUUACAUACUUUCCUUGAAACUCCUCCUUCAGCUUAUUCAAGCUUGUUUGGGAGACUCACAGGGUUGAGCUAUUGUCGUCUUCUCAACAAGCAGUCUUAAAUGACAUGCUUUGGCAGCUUCUUUCUUUUUAACAAGCAGCGGAAGCAAAAUCUGUAACAUCUUGAUUUUGGGCAUAGUCGAAACAAUGGUUUCGGGACCACAAAUUCGAUGAGAAAAAAAUUAUUUUUACUAUAUUUUUAUGGCCUUUAAUUUCACGGAAUGAUUUCGUGAAAAUUUCGUUCAAAAAUUUCGACGUUUGGGCACUCAAUUUAGUCAAAAGGACUAAAUUGUAAAAAGUGCAAAAGUUGAGUUCUACAUGUUAGAGGUGUCCAAUUGUUAUGAAAUUUUAAAUUGGAGGUCUUUAUAUGGUAAUUAGACCAUUGGUUAAGUUAUGGACAAAAAUGGACAUGAUAUAAGUGAAAUAGGAAAUUUUUAAGUUAGGGGUAUUUUGGUAAUUAAAAUGAAUUAAAAGGGAAAAAGAUGGAAAAUUGUGCUCAUCUUCUUUAUUUGGUUGAAAUUAGCUAGGGGGAAAGCCAUAGUUAGGGUUUUCAGGCUUCCAAGCUCCAUAUUAAGUUAUCCCAAUCCCCGUUUUUAAUGUUCUUUACGUUUUUGAAGCCCCGGUAACUUGAUUUAGCUUAUUCUAGCAAUAAUUUAACCUAGAGUUCAUAUUUGGAAAAGUACCCAUAGGUGAUAUGUGUUUGUUUUGAUGUUUUAUGGUAGAAUAUGAAGUCUUUAAUUAUGUUAAACAAUUUGUGCUAAGCGAUUUUAAGUGAAAACGAGUAAAAUGACAUAAUCGGUAAAAAUACCUAAUGUUCAUAAGUAAGUGUUAGAAUGGGAAUUUGAUGUUACCAUGGAAGGGAGAAAUGUUCUGCAUGUUAUAAAACAUAAGAAUAUGGGAUGAAGUUUAAUUUCCGAGCUUUAGGGCAAAAGUGUAAAUAUGUAAAAGUUUAGGGGCAAAAUCAUAAUUUUGCCAAAGUUAGAGUCGAGGGAUGUUUUGAUAAAUGUGAGUAUUAAAUAAACUAAAUUUUCUAUUAUAGAUAAAUAAGAACGAAAUCCGAGGUUAGACCGAGUAAAGAAAAAGGUUGAAGACUAAGUUGAUAGAUUUGGCCAUAUUUUGUACCAAGGUAAGUUUACGGUAAAUAAAUGCAAUAUUUUGAUAAUUAUUAUUAAUGGUGUUGUUUUUCAGCAAUUAUGUAUUUAUUUCAUGAAAAUAUCUAAUGUUCGACUUAAGUAUGAGAUGACAGAGAAUCAGCGAUAAAAGCCCCGUUGAAACAUUGGGAAUGUAUCGGAUACAAAUGUCAUGACAUUAAGGGAAUGAGAUCCCAUGUAAAACCAUGUCCGGGAUAUGGCAUUUGUAUCAUUGAGAUUAUGAGAGGUCUCAUGUAAGACCAUGUCUGGGACAUGGUGUUGGCAUCGAGAUGAGAGGUCUCCCGUAAGACCAUGUCUGGGACAUGGCAUGGGCACCGAUAUGAGAAGUCCCAUGUAAGACCAUAUCUGGGAUAUGGCGUUGGCAGUACAAGAAACAUCUCAUGUAAGACCAUGUCUGGGACAUGGCUUUGGAAUGUUAUUAUCAGAAAAGAGACCCAAGUAUCCUUAUUAUUCCAAUGUGGCUAACGGGCUAGUAAACAAAUUAUGUUCCAUGAAAGUUCAGGUAAAAGCAUAAAUAGCAAAUUCAGGUGAGUUAUAAGAGUUAAGAACAUAUUAUGUUAUCAAUUGAGAACCAACAUUUCAGCAAGAGAAGAGUAAGUUAUAAUCAUGAGUUAUCUAAGUAAACAAGUAAGUGAACGAGUAAGAGAGUAAGUAAAGAGGAAAUUAAAGAUCAUGACAUUUGAGUAUAAUUAUUUGUGUUAAAUGUUGUUAUUUAUUUGCUUGUAAACUUACUAAGCUUUAUGCUUACUUCUUUUAUUUUCCUUCUUUUAUAGUAUUGCAAAGCUAAUUCGGGGAUCUUAAAGACGUCGGAGAGCGCUCACACUAUCAACAACAACAACUCGGUAUUUUAUGAUGAUCAAUGUUUAAGCUAUGGCAUGUAUAGGGACUCAGUCAUUUUGAAUGUAUGUCCUUAUGAUAUUGCUAAAGGAUGAUGUGUAAAUAUGUGAUAAUGUUUAGCUAUUAAAAUGGCUAAGUAAGAAUAUGUUUGGUAUUAUGAAUGCCUAGAUGAAAGUUUAUACCUAGAAAUUAUGAAAGAGUAAAAAUUUGCAAUGAAACAGUUUUGGGACAGCAGCAGUGAUUUUGAAAAAUCACCAAGGAUAGUAUAAAAUGAAUUAGAGAGUGAAUGAUAUAUAUAAUUAAAGCUUAUCAAGUCUAUUUUCAUAGAAAAAUAACAGUGUGGGUAAAGGAAUUUUAUAUUCUGAGAUAUUUGAAUUUUGGUUAGACAGGGUCAGAAUGGUUUUUGGAGUCCCCUGUUCUGACUUUAGAAAAUCAUUAAAAAUUGUACAAAAAUAAUUAAGAGUUAUAAUUUAUAUGUCUAGAUUCCUUAGUGAGCCUAUUUUCUGUAGAAACAAGUGAGAACACCAUAUGAAAAUAACACAAUGAGAAAAUUUAUUUUUAGUGAAUAAAGGUCAGAACAGUCAGGCAAUGAAACAUGGGAGACUUUAAUGAAUAAACUAUACUAAUUGGCUAAAUCAAAAAUUCUGAAAAUUUUCUGGGAAGAUAAUAUAUGAGUCUAGUUUUAGGGAAAAUUUACAGAUCUAAAUUUAGAGUUUUUAAACUCGAGUUAUAGUUAAAUUAGUGACUACUUCGCAGGUGCACAACAUUAUGGUGAACAGUGAAAUAAAUUUUAAAAGUAAAUUUUUAUGCCCCGAACUAAUAAGUUAAGUCAAGUAAAGCCCCAUGCUCAACUCCAGCAAUGGUCUCAGGUAAGGGGUGUUACAAAAUCAAUGGCCCUUAAAGACUUAGGCUCAUGAUACCAAUUGUUGGAGUUUUUGUAAGAGUAAAGGAAGAAAAAUAGGACACAAGACAAGGCAGCAAGAUACAAGAAAACAUUUUUUCUUGCUCACAAAUGUGUAGCAAGGGAGCUUAUGGCUUUUAGCUCAUUUUGCUCAUUCAUUCAACUAGAAGAAACAAUACAUUUAUAGCCAAAUAAAUCACCAAAUACUACCUACUACCACUAAGUAGCCUAGUAACUUGAUAAACAUUGCUUGUACACAUAAACAAGCCUCCUAAAGUAGUCAUUCAACACCUAAUGUAUCAAGUUGUCAUCAACUUGUUCAUUUUCAACUAGUUUGAUUACAAUGAAACUAAACAAAAAAAAACCUUGUUGUUACAGCAAGCAUACAUGCUACAACAUGUUUACAAGCUACAUGCACUUCAACCAAAAAUAUCACAGCAGCAUGGUUGGCGAAUUUUCAACAUAUUUACUGAAUCUUGUUGUUAGAUAUCCAUUGAUAAUAAAGAGUUCAUCAUCUUUCAUCUUUCAACUUUAAAAAGAAAUUUGAAACUAAUUCUAAUAGAUAUUCCUUAAAAUUCAACCUGGAAGAGAAAUUAUAUUGACAUAUAUACUUCAUACAUUUACUCAAAAUUUGAGUAAUUUCAGUCAUAAUUCCAUGAUCCCAAAAUUGUUCCUCUUAUAGUGCUAAAAUCAAGUAUUUAACUACUGCUAGAGGACUGUGAAUUAUUACCAUCAAUAACUUUCGAUUUUAUAUAUCUACAGUGGAAAUAUAUCCAUAUCCAAAACUCAUCAUCAAGUCCAGGUAACAUAAUGAAAGAAUUUAUAAAUGGAAGGUACCCAUUGACUGCAGCAACCAAUAACUCAAUAGGAAAAUUGAGGUGCUGAAGAUGGUUUUAAGUACCCAGCACUGAAAUGGGGUUAAAGAGAGUUUUAGGGAGAUUUCACCAUUUGUUCUAUCUUAGGUGAUAAGUGCUAAAAGUAAUAUGUUUUAUUCUCAUUCUUAAUGCUUAGAUGUUAAUGAUGAAUUUUAUGCUCUUAAUCUUUUAAAUUCAUGUUUUUAUACUUAAGAGAGUAUUUGAAAGCAAAAGAAGCGAAAACCAGAAAAAUUGAAGUAAUGUACAGGAGCCACAUGAGCUAACCCCUUCCACACGGCCAUGUGAGCCGCAAGGGAUGCCACACGUCCAUGUAGCAUGUUGUGUCGAUUUCGUGAAUUGGCACUCUAAAUUGCGGAAAAAAAAUAUUUUUUAGGUUUUUCGGGCAUUUUAAGACGUAUAUAUGACAAACAUAAGAAGAUAAAGGGAGGGUUGUCAUAAAAUACUCAAGAAAACAACUCAAAAGAUACCAUUGAAGCCGAUUCGAAAGAAGAUUUCUGUCAAGAUUGAAGACUCCCAGUUGGUUUUUUAGAAAGAUAUCAUGAGUUUCUUUAUUUCUUGUGGUUAUACUGCGUUGAGAUGUUUUUAUUUUGAAGCAUAAACUAAUUUUCUAAAUAACUAAGGGAGAUGAACCCUAAAAUGAUUUCUGUUUUUUAUUUUAAUUUUACGAAAUAAAUUAUUAGUUUCUUAUUCUCAAUUAUGUGUGCUUAAUCAUUGGUUUAACAUUUUUAAAAUAUUGAUCUAUGUUUGAUGUACUUAAAUUAGAGGAGAAAUAAACCCUGUUUAAGAGUAGGUCUUGCGUAAUUGAGUGGGGUUGCAUACAAUCUUAGAAAUAGGGUGACAUAAAUCUAUUGGAUUUGAGUCAAAUCUAAUAUAGGGGAAUCUAUAGAUUGAGUUAGUGCGAUAAUAUGGGUUUUAAUAAGAAAAAAUUUUCAAUUAAUCAACCUAAAGUCAGUUGCUCUUACUCUUGAAAGAGAUGUUAACAUAAUUUAAAAAUUUCUACGGACCAAUAUACUAAGUAAAGAAAUCGUGUAAUUUAAAUUGAUAGUGACAGAUGAAAUCUAGAUGAAUUCUUUCAUUAGUAUUGUUUUGCUUCUUGGUUGUUAAUCAUUUAUUUACUUGUUUUGUUCUUUGUCAUGUUCAUUAGUUAAUUAAACAGGUUAAUUUUAGUUUUUGAAUCAAUCACUUGAAUCAUUUAAGAAAAUGUGGGAUUGUGUAUAUGAACAGAUUUGAGAAAAGAAAACAAUUUUUGCUUUGUGAAAUGUAAGAGGAAAUACACAUCAAGGUAAUUAUUCCUGUUUUGGUAACUUAAUAUCUUAUCAUUAAGCUAAGAGGUUGUUGACCACAUUCAUCUAUAUUUUUACUUAAUAAAAAUUUGAAAGGUAAACUAUUUAGAUAGUCACCCAAGUUUUAAUGCGUUCCUGUUUUAGUUAUUCAAUUUUUUUUAUUAAUUUAAUUACUCAUGUAACUGGAUUUCAUUUUUUAGCCACUCCAUUAUUAAAAUGUUUUGGUCAUUAAAUAGAAAUAUUGGCAUGAGAUUCUUUUGAAUAAUAUAAUCUUUAAAAAAUAUAUAAGAAAAUAUUCAUAUGGAUUAGAUUUGAAAAUGAAGCAUUUUAAAAUAUGGGGAUAAAUUCUAAAAUUAUAUAUGAACUUUGAUUCAAUGUGCAACUUGAUAUAUGAACUUUAAUUUGAUGCAAUUAUACACAUGAAACUUUGAUUGUGGUUCAAAUGUAUACAUGAAACUUUAAUUUUGAUUCAAUUAUAUGCACAUUUAAAGAAAUAAAUACAUCAAUUUAUUUUUAUAUUGGAUAAAUAUAAUUAUAUGCAUAUGUAAUAUACAAACAUAAAAUGAUGUUAUUAAUAAUUUAUGAGAAUUUGAUCAAAUCAAAAUUUCAUGUAUAAAAUUACACAAAAUCAAAGUACACGUAUAGUUUUCAAAUUUACCCCUAAUUAAUUCUAUGAAAUUAUUUUAAAUGGAAACAAUUGAUAUAAUGUCUAAACAAUUUUAUAGUAUUAAAAUAUCGCAUUUAAAUCCCAUACAACGUACAAUAUUUAGAAUACCUUUUUUUAGUAUUAUUUGUAAAAAGCUACACAUUUUUAAAUUAAAUUAAAUUAAAUAUAUUAUAAUUAUCGACAUUUAUGAAAUUUUGUUUCACAUUGCUUUCUAGAUUGCCAAGCAUUUGAGUGUAAUUUUGAUAUCUCGGUUAUAAGGAUUGUAUGGAAACCAAGUUAGCCGCCUUUUGUUUGUCCUUUUCGUUGGAAACUAGCCGCCUUAUUAUUAUUUUCCAUGCAUGCAGAGAAGAGGAAUAAAAUUACAUUCUUUAUGCAAGGUGGUAUUAUUUUGACCAUUUCUUUGUCAAUCAAUCUUAUCCAAUGAAGAAUAAGAUGGAAAUGAAAUGUGAGUGUAUAAAUAGCAUGUUAGUUUCUCAUUUCUUCCCAUAUCGGAUAGCAUCAGUUCAUAGAUAUUUGCGUUGAAUCAAUUUGUUUGUAUAAUUUGAAGAGAAAGAUGGGUGGUUUUGCAAAAGAAGCAGAGGUUAGUACAUCACUUCCCCCAGCCAAGGCAUUUAAGGCAUUUGCUGAAGAUCUGGACACCCUAUUGCCCAAGGUUGCCCCACAAGCAAUCAAGAGUGUGGAACGCCUUGAAGGAGAUGGUGGCCCUGGAACUAUAAAGAAGAUCACCUUUGCUGAAGGUAAUUCAAUUCCUUAAAAAGGUAAACUACAAUUUUAGAUUAUCUUUCUUCACAUACCAAUGUGCCUGUGGGGUGAUAACAAAUGCAGGGUAUGGAUUCAGUUAUGCGAAACACAGAGUAGAUGUGUUAGACAAAGACAACUUGUUGUACACUUACGUUGUGAUCGAAAGCGACUUUUUUAACAACAUGGUGGAGAAAAUCAGCUACGAGACAAAGUUUGUAGCAGCAGCAGAUGGAGGAACAAGUAUUAAGGUAAAUACCACCUUUUACACCAUUGGUGACAUUCAGAUCACUCCAGACCUAAUGCUCCAAAUCAAGGAAGCAUCCGAGAAGCGAGCCCUUAUUUUGAAAGCUAUAGAGAAUUAUGUGUUGGCAAAUCCCGGUGUCUAAUUUGCCUUACCCAAAAACUGUAUUUGAUUUGGGUAGUAGAUUGUUUGUCUCUCUGGAUUUCAUCAUUUCUGUUUCCAUUGUAAUAAAAGUCUUUGGAGUUGUUAUCAUCUUUCAUACAUACUUGAAACCAAUGUUUUAUGGUUCAUGACACUUACACUCUUAUUAUUUGUAGACCUCUAGCUUUUGUUUGUGUUUUUAAGGUUGGGUUUAUAGUUUGGUUAAUUACUCAUGUACUUUUUCAUGUUUCUAUGUAUGGCAUCUUUUGCUUGGUUACUAAACUCUUAGAGGGUUUUUAGAAUCUCUUUAGUGUCUAACACUGUGGAAAAAAGUUGACAUAAAGAGUCUAUUUUAUACUUCAUUUUUUAAGUGUUUGUGGAUUAAAUUGAUAAAAUUUGUAUAAUAGAGGACUACAUUUGUUAAAUUAUUUAGAAUUAGGAACUAAUUGAGGACUAAAUGUUAUUUACACCAAUUAAAAAAGGGCCAUGUCAUCAUUUUCGUUAACGAUUUAACGAAGGGUGGCCAAAACAAAAUCGAUCGAAAAUGUUAGUGAUGAAAUUGAAAGUUUUUGUAAUUCGAUGACCAAACUAAAAACACGCUAAUAGUUGGGUAAUUAAUGGUAUAGUUUACCCAAAUUUUUUUUCUUUUUAAUAAGUUAAUUUAUAAUGAUUAUAAUUUCAUAUAUAAUUUUAAGAUGAAACUUAUGAUAGCAUUACUAUGGAGAAGUUUAGCAGAAAUUGGAAUCCAAUUACUUGAAGAUAUGAGAAAAGAAAGACAAUUUAUUGCUUUGUGAGAUGUAAAAGGAAAUACAUAUGAAGGUAAUUAUUAAAUAUUGUGUUUACUAUUUGAUAAAAGCUUACAAUUUUUUUUAACAAUGCUUAAACUUUCUAAAAAACAAAUUUGGUCCUUUAUAGCUUAGUAAAUUUUGUGUAUCCCAUCCUUCAUAUCAACAAAUGGUAAAUUCUAGUAAUAUUUGAAUAAACUUUAUUCAAAACCAACAACUACUUAGAAAAAUGUAGGAAUGGACAUUUUUUCUAGGCAUUUAAAACAAGUUUGAAUUUUGAUGUCAUCAUUGUGGGAGCGUUUUACCUAAAUACUAUCCUACCCGAACAAGAUUAUUCUUAAACCGUAAAACGGAUGAUUACAUGUGUACUUAUAUAAAAAAAUGAAAGCAAAUUUCAUUCAAAUAUUCUUAUUUUAUAAUUAAAAUUUUUUAUUUCAUGCGAAAAUAUAUCUAUAUGUUAAUGUUAAAAUAUGACAAGGUUUGUCUUUAUUGGUGAUAUUCAUUAGAAUGGGAAGUUACCUUGUGGAUGGUGGGGUAGGACCCCAAACUCUACAACAACAGUGGACGUAAUCUAUGGAGAAACACACACAAUGGGGAAUUUAGGGUCAAAAUUGUGGUGUCUUAAAAUGCCUUUCAAACUAGUAAUGUUAGAACUAUGAACUCGUGCCUCCCAUGCAAAGUGGAAAUUCAAAGAAGAAUCGGAUCAGCUGAGACGAACUGUGCCAUCUGUCUUGAGGAAGAUGAAAGUGAAGAUCAUCUUUUUCUAUCGCGCCCUUUUACUAGAACAGUCUGGUUAGGAACAUCAUUUGCUAAUUAGAAGUGAUGCUAUAGGAACCACCUCAAUAAAGAAUUGGACCUAUGAGAUCAAGUACAUGGGAUGAACAAAGACAAAUGGAUACUCUACACCUGAUCCCAUUAGCAUAUGUAUUGUGGGGAAUUCGGACUCACUGAAAUAAAGUUAUCUUUGAAGGACAAGAGCCUAACUCGGUUGCAAUAAUAAGACAAGUGAUCGAUCAAUUACAACUGGCCAAACAAGCUUUCCUACCAAAGGAGGAACAAAGAAAAAGUACCAUAAUGGCCCAGAGUGGAGCUAUCACACGACAGACUUCUCACCAGCUCAUAUUGGAAAGGAAACCAUUAGGAAACAUGAUAGGUGCUAAAUUUUAUAUAGUUUCUUUUAUAUAUUGUGACUUGGUAUCGGAAAAAAGAAGAAGAAAUUAAUGUCUUUUAAAUACUUUUGUGGGAUAUGGUGCAUUCAUUCAAAUGCAAUUAUAUCCGGUGGCGAAGCUUAGUAGAGAACCAGAAGAUAUGAUACCUCUUAAAAUGGUAAAAUUUUUAAUUUAGGCUCUUUAUAAUUUAUAAAAUUUUAAAUUAUUAAUGGUAAAAUUACACAUCGACUCCCUAAAAAUGAUAAAAAUUUGAUUUAAUUUUUUAAAAAAUUAUAAAAAUAUAAGUUAUUAAAAUAAUGAAAUUACCUUUUUAUUAUUGUAAAAAUAUACAAUUUAAUUUCGGCCCAAAAAGUUUUAUGAUUCCACCACCUAUUAUAAUGAAUAUCACCAAUAAAGAUAAACCUUGGCAUGAUGCUUGUAAAAAAUGCAUCAAAAAAGUUGAAAUUGAUGAUGAGAACAAAGUAUGGUGCAAGAAGAAAAAAGAGUUGAUGAUUAUAAAUCAAGAUGACAAAUUCUUUUUCAUUGUUAAAGCAACACAUUCUAAUUUGUUGUGAAAUUUCAAGAUAUCUUAAAUAAUCGGAGGAUAAGAUCAUAAAAAUUUUAAUUUCUUAAUUUCAUUUAAUAAUAUAAUACUUAUAAACUUAUUGUCAUUUACUUACAAGAAAAAUAAAAAAAUAGAGAGCUAUUAUUAGAAUAAUUUGAUUUUCAAAUCAAAAUAAAUAAUUUGAAUUAAUAAAUUCAUGAGACUUAAUUUGUGUAUUUCCGCAUCUUUUGUUUUAAUUACAUUUUUUUAGGUUUAUUAAGUAUUCGGGCGAUAUUGGAUAGUUUCGAAUGAUUGCCUUGUCAAUUAGAAUAGUUAAAUCUGUAAUUAUUCAAUUCAUUCUAAUACUUUGAUGAAUUGUAUAAUUAUUUAUGUUGUAGUUUAUGAUUAUGUGGUCUGGAUAUGUGAUGUAGCUUAAAUAAACUUCGUUCAAAUAAAUUUGUUCUAUUCAAGACUUUUCCAAAACAUACCAUGUCUUGGCCAUAUUGAGAUCGAUACAACAUAUACCAACUUUGGUUAUUUCUAAACAUGCAUCAAGUUGACCAUAUUAACCAUAACCAACAAGAUAUCAAUAGUAUCUUAAGUACCUCAAAUUCAAAGGCAACAUUUCAUGCUAUAAUUAGACAUAUAUAUAUAUACCAAACUCAUCAAUUAAACAUUAGACAUAAUCCACCUAUACAUGCCAUUAUAACCUUAACCAAGAUAUCAAAAUCUAUAGAUAUAAUCGUUGUAUAGUGUGAUAGAUCUCCGACGAACUUUCAACACGAUCGAGCUUCCGAUAAUCUGUAAAGUAAGUGAUAAACAAUUACAUAAGCAAUGAAUGCUUAGUAAGCUCGUAAAAACUUUAAACAUAAUAUUCCAAUUCAAUAAUAAACUUUAUCUGAUAAAGAUAAGCAUCUUAAUAACACUUUACAAUUUAGUCUUUUUCAAUUAAUUAACUAUCGAAACGUUAAAAUUUUUCAACGAAACUUUGAUACCAUCUUAAUGACACUCCGUAAAUAUUUAUAAAAAUAUUUACGGCUCGGUUUAUAGAAACGAGGUCCCAAUACCUCAUUUUUUAGAACCACUUGACCUUAAGGUCUUACCACUUGAACUUAAUUAAUCAUUCAAAUAGCAUAAAUUAUCAUAUCAAAAAUAUUUUUAAAAUUAUAUUUGACUCGUAAAUAUUAAAUAAUAACAUUUACGAACUUACUCGUCGGAUUUGGUUGACUCGUAAUUUAAUUAUUUAAAGUAUCAAAUUUAUUUAAAUGGGUUAAUUUUUUAUUAAAAUGAUCAUAUUUGAGAUCUAAGCUCGAAAAAAUGUGUCUUAAAAUAUGUUGCGGAACUAAAAGACAACUUUUCAUUCAGUGAGAGACAAUUCAACCUAAGAAUCCCGGGAUCCCAUCCGAAAAUGAGUUGUAAGAUAGCUGAGUUCUAAGCUUGAAAAAUGACAAUAUUGCUAAAUUUAAUCUAAUAGAGUCCAUCCCAUGUAUCAAUUCUAUUUAGUGUUACUGUUUCUUGCCUGCAGUCUUAUGUUUUGUGUAUUUAUCCUGGAUUUCUGUUUUGCCUUUGUUUUCACCACUUGCCCAUGUCGUGGUCCUUUGCGUCUUGUAUACACUGUUUUUAUUUGCUUUUUAUAAAUUUCUCACUUUCUCUUUAAAAAAAACAACUUAUAAUUACAAUGUGCCACAUUACUAAUAGUCCAAGCACUUGAAUUGAGGGUCUUAUUGAUGCGUUUAAAAUAUUGGAGUUCUUUUAAUCAUUCUUCUGAUAGACUGCUUUCAAGAUCCAUGAUUUUGUUCUUUUCUGUAAGCUUAUAUCUAUUCAUAUCCAAGAAGAUCUAAUGCCAGUCCACAAACCAGAAUCAAUAUUGCAAGUGGUGAUUUCCAAUUUAUAUUACAAAAUUUCAACUAAUAAAUUAACAAUCCGAUAAAAUAUGAAGAAACGAAUCACCUGGCUAGGAUUUGAAAGAGGCUAUUCUUCAUUGUUCCCAGUCUAUAAAUACUACAUCAUCUGGCCUACAUCUCCACAGCUCAAAAACCUGUUUGAUCAUUUCUGAAAUCAGUAGAAAGUCAUGGGUGUUUUCACUUACGAAUCUCAGGUUGUUACAGCCAUACCACCUGCCAAGAUGUUCAAGGCUUGCGUUCUUGAUGGUGACAAUCUCAUUCCCAAGAUUCUUCCUCAGGCUUUUAAGAGCAUUGAGUACAUUGAAGGCAAUGGUGAGCCUGGUAGCAUCAAGAAGGUCACCUUUGGAGAAGGUCAGCUCAUUUAUAUAACUUUAUACUUUGAAUCAUAUACAUAUAUGUACCUUAAUUUUGAAGGGAGAAGGGUGAACAUUAUGUGUUUUUCUUCAUGCAGGAAGCCAGUUCAAAUACAUGAAGCAGAAGGUUGAAGCAGUAGACAAAGAAAAUUUUGUAUAUAUUUACAGUGUGAUCGAAGGUGAUGCGUUGAUGAACAAGCUUGAGAAAAUCACUUACGAGACGAAAUUGGAGGCCUCUCCGGAUGGGGGAUCUCUAUGCAAGACUAGUAGCAAGUAUUACACCGUUGGUGAGUUUGAGCUCAAGGAAGAGGGAAUCAAGGCAGGCAAAGAAAAGGCAUUGGGAAUGUUCAAGGCCAUUGAAGCCUACCUCCUGGCAAAUCCUGAUGCUUACUAAGAUAGCAUUAUCCACUUCAAUGAAUAUCACGUACGCUAUUGGCCAUUUUUCUCUUCUAGUUUUUAGUUUUGAAUUUGGUGGUUCGUAUGAACUUCAGAUUGCUAAUAAAGAGUCAAUAGUUUACUCUGAUUACCAGGAAGCUUGAGCUGAAAUGGGUGAAGCCUGUAAUAAAUAAAUAAAUAAGUAAAUAAAAAUCAUACAAUUUAUUUACUGAAUCUAUCAAGAUUUAUAUUAUCCGCAACGUGUUGAAUUUAGAUUUUCAUUUGAUUCUGGUUUUACUAUAUUUUAUUCCCCAAGUGAAAUCAAUAAUCAAGCUUACCAUUAAAGAACAAUUUGUGAAACUCGAAAGCAACAUGCCUGGAACCUUACAACAAGAGCCGAAAAUUUCUUUAAUCAUAGCUGUUUUAUUGAUCAUAAUCGUCCAUUAACUUUGCACCUUGCAGAAAUAAUUACAAAUAUUGGAACUGGAAUUGGGUGGAGUGCGCCAGGCCCGAGCUAUAGUGCAAAGCCUGGGCGACGCCCGAGAGCCCCAGUAGCAAGCUAUUGUGAUGGACUCUUCCCCCUCAAAAAUAAAUUUAAUAUCAUGUGAGCCAAUGGCCCACGUAUCAGAUAUUAAACUGAUAAGAACAGAUACUACACUUGAUCUUAGCCAAAAGGCCGAGAAAGGUAUGCCCAUCUCUGUCAAGCAUCGCGCUAUUUAAAACCUGCUUCUCGCCUCUUCUUGCGUACGCUCCUUGAUGUGGGAUCUUAUGCGAAGGAGCAAGGCACCAUCCCAGCAAAGAUUUAGUUUCCGUAGUUGCAUCAGACAAACAAAUUUAACAUUGAAAGAAGCAUGCUUAAGCUAAUUAAUUCAACAAUAAAACCACUUUUCUAACGAUCAAAACUUUGAAAAACAAAAGCUACAUUUGCAAUUUGUAAAUCACGCCAGGAAUGGAUUUUGGCUUUGCUCAAAGAAGCAGCAAUUGGAUUUUAGAAUACAGAUUAUCUUGUUUCAAGACUUUUUAUUUGGAACAAAAUGGAAAUUUCUCUGGAAUCCGGUGGUGAUGGGAAUCAUCUGGAAGUAGAUGAUGGUGAAGGUUCUCAAGAAGAUGUGGAUAGAAAUACUAAGAAGGAAGAGACCAACGGUGAGGCGAACACAGAAAUGACGGUUGACCCAAGGCCGACCCCAAAUCUAUCAUGGAAGGACAAACUAAUGGGGAUUGGAACCGGUAAUAUUGCUAAAACGGCGAUGACAAAUUCUGGCAUGGGGGAUGAUGAUGAUCUUGAAUUCCUCGAAGGAGAUAUUAACAGAUCUACUAUCAAUGGAUUCCUGCAAUAGAUUUUUCUGAUAGGAUUCCAUGAAUCUUUUAAGGAAAUGGAAACUACGGUGGUUCUGAAACUGCUAGGUAGGAACAUCGACUAUGGGGCUUUAAACAAUCGGAUCAGUAGCCUUUGGAGACCCUCUAAACCCUUUCAUCGUAUGGAUAUAGAAAACAUAUAUUACUUGUCAAAGUUUCAGUGCACGAAUGAUUUUGAGAAAGUUUUAUUGCAAGGCCCUUGAAUAAUCUAUGGGCAAUACUUGACUGUCCAUCCUUGGACCAGAGAGUUUAAUCCGUUACAACAUAUCCAAGCAUGGUGAUGGCUUGGAUAUGUCUACCAAGACUCAGGUUUUUCAUAUCGGUUCAAUUAGUUUGUACUAGUUCGUGGGUCAACUAAUUUUUUACUACUCAACAGACCAAUACCCCAACCAAUUCUUGAUCCAACCAAUCUAAUUUGGUUUUGAUAAUAUUGAGUUUUAAAUUUUUUUUUAUAUAUUUUAAAAAUAUUUUCAAAAAAAUAUUUUUAUUUUGAAUUUUAAAAAGUUUUUAUUUUUAUUAUUUUUAAAUUAUAAUUUUUUGUUUAAAAUAUGACAAAAGUAUUUUUUAAUUUUUUUAUGUACAUCUAGGGUAAUCAAACAAUUUAACAAACCAAAUAAUUUUUAAAAAAGUAAUUUUGAAAAUAAUUUUAAAAAUUUUGUUAAGGAUGGCUUGAAUUUAACAAGCCAUGAAUCCUAGCAAAUGUCAAAAUUGGUGGCUAAUAAAUCUGCUCAUGGGUUGAGUCAUCUGUCCAAGAUAGAAGGUUCGUCUAAAAAAUGGGUGAGUUUUGGACAAAAUACGAGGACCGUAAAAUGAGUUCUGGUAAAAUUUAAGGCUCGUUUUCUAUAUGGGUUGGGCAUUGGACAAGUCUUUUUGACCCAAGCCUGGCCCGAAUAUAUAUUAUGUUAUAAAAAAUAUUAUAUUAAUUAUAAAUGUUAAAUAAUAAUUAUUUAUAUUUAUAUUUAUAUUAAAUCACUAACAAAAUAACAAUUAAACUCCCUACCCAAACCUAAAAAAAACUAACUAAAUAACCCAACACAAAAUAUAAAAUUUUAAAAAUUAUAUUUAAUACAAUAAAAUAUUUAUUAUAUUUAUUUGUUUUUUUUAAUAUAAUAAAAAAUAUUAUAUUUAUGGUAGUGUUUUUUAAUAUAAAUACUUUUAAUAUAUUUUUAAUGUGUUAGAAAACUUCUAUUUUAGCUUUUUUUCAAUACACUUAGUGUAUUAUAUUUUAAAAAAAAUUAUUUUAAAAUAAAAACUAAUCUAAAAAAAUCAAAUAUGAGAGAGCUGGAUUGGAACCGAGUUUACCUUUCUUAAAUUGGGUUGAAUUUGGACAAAAAAAUAAGCGCACUUUUAAGUUGAACUGGACAAAAACUUGAAAAAUUGGUCUAGAUACUAUAUAUGAACCGACCCAUGAUGCACCAAUUUUUAUCGUGGCAACAAUUUUUAUUACCAUCUUCCAAUUGCCAAACCGUAUUAAAUGUGGCUAUUAAAAAUUAUUAUUACCGUCUUCCAAUUGUCAAGCUUUAUUAAAUGUAGCUAUUAACUUGAAUCUCAUGCAAACUAAUAUAAAUACGGCUUAAUUCUAAGCCACGAGACACUAUUUUUUACGAUUUUUCUGUGAUGGAAUCUUAUCCAAUGAAGAAAGGAAAAUAUGAGUGUGAGUAUAUAAAUAGCAUAUUAGUUUCUCAUAUCUUCCCACACCUCAUACCCAUAAAGUAUCAGUUAAUAAAUAUUUGCGUUUAAUCAAAUUGUUUGUAUAAUUGGAAGAGAAAAAUGGGUGUUUUUGCAAAAGAAGCAGAGGUUAGUACCCCACUCCCACCUGCCAAGGUGUUUAAGGCCUUUGUUGUUGAUCUGGACACCCUAAUGCCCAAGGUUGCCCCACAAGCAAUCAAUAGUGUGGAGCUCCUUCAAAGAGAUGGUGGCCCUGGAACUAUCAAGAAGAUCACCUUUGCCGAAGGUAAUUUAAUUACUUAAAGGGUAAACUACUACAAAUUGAGAUGUAGUUAUAUUAGUUAUCUUCAUAUACCUACGUGCAAGUCUGAUUUGGUUGAUAUCAAAUGCAGGGUAUUGAUUCACAUAUGCGAAACACAGAGUCGAUGUAUUAGACAAAGACAACUUGUUAUACACUUACGUUGUGAUCGAAAGCGAUUUUUUUAAUAACGUGGUGGAGAAAAUCAGCUACGAGACCAAGUUUGUAGCAGUAGCAGAUGGAGGAACAAGUAUUAAGGUAACUACCACCUUUUACACCAUUGGUGACAUUUAGAUCUCUCCAGACCUAAUGCUCCAAAUCAAGGAAGCAUCCGAGAAGCGAGCCCUUGUUUUGAAAGCUAUUGAAAAUU
This 40409-nucleotide long non-coding RNA is filed under the name Gossypium barbadense (sea-island cotton). RNAcentral's name for it is "long non-coding RNA (GBAR_LNC013975)". Lineage: Eukaryota; Viridiplantae; Streptophyta; Magnoliopsida; Malvales; Malvaceae. The record is from RNAcentral.